RNAcentral lists this ribosomal RNA (722 nucleotides) under Triatoma circummaculata. Its description in RNAcentral is "SSU rRNA". It matches the Rfam family "Eukaryotic small subunit ribosomal RNA", at positions 500 to 1136 of the family's 1831-position model. Lineage: Eukaryota; Metazoa; Arthropoda; Insecta; Hemiptera; Reduviidae. The record is from RNAcentral.
GCCCCGUAAUCGGAAUGAGUACACUUUAAAUCCUUUAACAAGGAUCCAUUGGAGGGCAAGUCUGGUGCCAGCAGCCGCGGUAAUUCCAGCUCCAAUAGCGUAUAUUAAAGUUGUUGCGGUUAAAAAGCUCGUAGUUGGUUCUGCGUGCCGCGCUGUCGGUUCGCCGCCUGUCGGUGUAACUGGCAUGUCGCGGCAUGUCCUGUCGGUGGUGAACGGAGUCCACGACGCUACAUGGGCUUUAUAGUCGAUGUUAGCAUCGUGUGUACUUCCGUUGGCCGAUCUCUCCUACUUCGGUGCUCUUAAACGAGUGUCGAGGUAGGCCGACACGUUCACUUUGAACAAAUUAGAGUGCUUAAAGCAGGCUGAAAUAUCUGCCUGAAUAGUGGUGCAUGGAAUGAUAAAACAGGACCUCGGUUCUAUUUUGUUGGUUUUAGGAAUAUGAGGUAAUGAUCAAUGUGGACUGGCGGGGGCAUUCGUAUUGCGACGUUAGAGGUGAAAUUCUUGGAUCGUCGCAAGACGCACUAGAGCGAAAGCAUUUGCCAAGUAUGUCUUAAUUGAUCAAGAACGAAAGUUAGAGGUUCGAAGGCGAUCAGAUACCGCCCUAGUUCUAACCAUAAACGAUGCCAGCCAGCGAUCCGCCGAUGUUCCUUUAAUGACUCGGCGGGGAGCUUCCACCCGGGAAACCAAAGCUUUUGGGUUCCGGGGGAAGUAUGGUUGCAAAG